RNAcentral lists this ribosomal RNA (406 nucleotides) under uncultured bacterium. Its description in RNAcentral is "partial 16S ribosomal RNA". It matches the Rfam family "Bacterial small subunit ribosomal RNA", at positions 30 to 526 of the family's 1533-position model. The record is from RNAcentral.
AUUGAACGCUGGCGGCAGGCCUAACACAUGCAAGUCGAACGAGUGGCGGACGGGUGAGUAAUGUAUGGGCAACUGCCCGAUGGAGGGGGAUAACUACUGGCAACGGUUGCUAAUACCGCAUCCUAUCGGAUGUACCCAGAUGGGAUUAGCUGGUUGGUGGGGUAAAGGCUCACCAAGGCGACGAUCUCUAGCUGGUCGGAGAGGAUGCCCAGCCACACUGGGACUGAGACACGGCCCAGACUCCUACGGGAGGCAGCAGUGGGGAAUAUUGCACAAUGGGCGAAAGCCUGAUGCAGCCAUGCCGCGUGUAUGAAGAAGGCCUUAGGGUUGUAAAGUACUUUCAGCGGGGAGGCGUUACCCGCAGAAGAAGCACCGGCUAACUCCGUGCCAGCCGCCGCGGUAAUAC